Molecule: ribosomal RNA, 434 nt
Filed under: uncultured bacterium
Lineage: Bacteria
Description: bacterial SSU rRNA
Rfam family: Bacterial small subunit ribosomal RNA
Source: RNAcentral
UGAGGAAUAUUGGUCAAUGGGCGAAAGCCUGAACCAGCCAAGCCGCGUGAGGGAAGACGGUCCUAUGGAUUGUAAACCUCUUUUGUCGGGGAGCAAGGAUCCGCACGAGUGCGGAGGCGAGAGUACCCGAAGAAAAAGCAUCGGCUAACUCCGUGCCAGCAGCCGCGGUAAUACGGAGGAUGCGAGCGUUAUCCGGAUUUAUUGGGUUUAAAGGGUGCGCAGGCGGAGGAUCAAGUCAGCGGUAAAAUAGCGGGGCUCAACCCCGUCGAGCCGUUGAAACUGGUUUUCCUAGAGUGAGCGAGAAGUAUGCGGAAUGCGUGGUGUAGCGGUGAAAUGCAUAGAUAUCACGCAGAACUCCGAUUGCGAAGGCAGCAUACCGGCGCUCAACUGACGCUCAGGCACGAAAGCGUGGGUAUCGAACAGGAUUAGAUACC